Molecule: ribosomal RNA, 444 nt
Filed under: uncultured bacterium
Lineage: Bacteria
Description: bacterial SSU rRNA
Rfam family: Bacterial small subunit ribosomal RNA
Source: RNAcentral
AACGCGAAGAACCUUACCUGCUCUUGACAUCCUCGGAAAGCUGUAGAGAUACGGUGGUGCCCGAAAGGGAACCGAGAGACAGGUGCUGCAUGGCUGUCGUCAGCUCGUGUCGUGAGAUGUUGGGUUAAGUCCCGUAACGAGCGCAACCCUUAUCCUUAAUUGCGACCAGGUCAAGCUGAGCACUUUAGGGAGACUGCCGGUGACAAGCCGGAGGAAGGCGGGGAUGACGUCAAGUCAUCAUGGCCCUUAUGAGCAGGGCUACACACGUGCUACAAUGGGGGUGGACAGAGGGCUGCCAACCUGAGAAGGGGAGCGAAACUCAGAAACCACCUCGUAGUCCGGAUUGGAGUCUGCAACUCGACUUCAUGAAGUUGGAAUCGCUAGUAAUCGCGGAUCAGAAUGCCGCGGUGAAUACGUUCCCGGGCCUUGUACACACCGAGUAUA